Molecule: ribosomal RNA, 460 nt
Filed under: uncultured bacterium
Lineage: Bacteria
Description: partial 16S ribosomal RNA
Rfam family: Bacterial small subunit ribosomal RNA
Source: RNAcentral
CCUACGGGAGGCAGCAGUGAGGAAUAUUGGUCAAUGGACGAGAGUCUGAACCAGCCAAGUAGCGUGAAGGAUGACUGCCCUAUGGGUUGUAAACUUCUUUUAUAAGGGAAUAAAACGAGGCACGUGUGCCUUUUUGCAUGUACUUUAUGAAUAAGGAUCGGCUAACUCCGUGCCAGCAGCCGCGGUAAUACGGAGGAUGCAAGCGUUAUCCGGAUUUACUGGGUGUAAAGGGAGCGUAGACGGUUACGCAAGUCUGGAGUGAAAGUUGGGGGCCCAACCCCCGGACUGCUUUGGAAACUGUAUAACUGGAGUGCAGGAGAGGUAAGUGGAAUGCGUGGUGUAGCGGUGAAAUGCGUAGAUAUUAGGAAGAACUCCAGUGGCGAAGGCAGCUUACUGGACUGUAACUGACGUUGAGGCUCGAAAGCGUGGGGAGCAAACAGGAUUAGAUACCCCUGUAGUC